This is a long non-coding RNA of Fundulus heteroclitus (mummichog), 178 nucleotides long. RefSeq lists it as uncharacterized. Lineage: Eukaryota; Metazoa; Chordata; Actinopteri; Cyprinodontiformes; Fundulidae. The record is from RefSeq and is a predicted model, not a curated record. The transcript is spliced from 2 exons.
GUUUUCUCCAGACUCCCCUCUGCAAACUACAGAUAUUGAGAACCUGAGUUUGUAUUGAUGGAGCUGCUGGUGGAGCUGACAGAGUUGAAGAGCUGAAGUCAGCAGGGCUGUCAUUUAGAAAGCUUGAUACACACAAAAUGGACCUGAAAUGUGCGUACGCCACUUUCCAUCAAAAGUU